This 440-nucleotide ribosomal RNA is filed under the name uncultured bacterium. Its description in RNAcentral is "partial 16S ribosomal RNA". It matches the Rfam family "Bacterial small subunit ribosomal RNA", at positions 338 to 795 of the family's 1533-position model. The record is from RNAcentral.
CCUACGGGUGGCAGCAGUAGGGAAUAUUGCUCAAUGGGGGAAACCCUGAAGCAGCAACGUCGCGUGGAGGAUGACGGUUCUCGGAUUGUAAACUCCUUUUGUUAGAGAAGAUAAUCACGGUAUCCAACGAAUAAGCACCGGUUAACUCCGUGCCAGCAGCCGCGGUAAUACGGAGGGCGCAAGCGUUACUCGGAAUGACUGGGCGUAAAGCGCGCGUAGGCGGGAUAGCAAGUCAGAUGUGAAAUUGUAUGGCUUAACCAUAGAACUGCAUUUGAAAAUGUUAUUCUAGAGUGGGGGAGAGGUAUGUGGAAUGCUUGGUGUAGGGGUAAAAUCCAUAGAGAUCAAGAAGAAUACUCAUUGCGAAGGCAGCCUACUAGAACAUGACUGACGCUGAUGCGCGAAAGCGUGGGGAGCAAACAGGAUUAGAUACCCCAGUAGUC